This is a long non-coding RNA of Mus musculus (house mouse), 5193 nucleotides long. RefSeq annotates it as predicted gene 13816. NCBI's taxonomy places the organism in Eukaryota, Metazoa, Chordata, Mammalia, Rodentia, Muridae. The transcript has 2 exons. The record is from RefSeq and is a predicted model, not a curated record.
GUUUCUGCAGGGUGUGGUCCCUGAAAGUGGGAGCUGCUCCAGGGAGGACAGGGCCUCGAGGAAGAGCUAGGAAGGAAGCAGAGGCCGGAAGCAGGAAGGCCUGGCUGCUGCUGUGCCUGCCACUGCUGCAGCCCAGUGUCCUGGGGUGACCGUGGGUGGCUGUGGACAGGCUGCAGCCUCUCUGGCUAUCUCUGACCUCUUUAGGAACAGUUCGUAGAAUCCCCAGGAAAACUCAGUUCUGAGCAUGCACCGGCACACACCCGGAGUUUCCUGUGUUUACAACUCUAGAGGUAAUUUUCCAAUGCCAAAGGAGAAAGCACCGAAGCCCACUUGGACUGGGACCGCACCUCUACCCUCGGAGGCUGGCGACCUCCCACAUCUUCUUUGACCCCAGUUUCUGCUUCUUUAAAAUGGGCCCAGGCAGCAUCCACUCUCCAGGAUGAUGAGGGUGACUGGACUUGCAGAUGGGUGGAGGAGUCAGGGCCGUUCACAGCCAUCUGACCAUCCCCCAGCUGGGGAGUCUGUGGGUAAAGAAUGGACUGAGUGGUCUUCCAUUGCAUGUCAUCAACCUCAUUCCAGCCAGCUUGGUGAGUUUUACCAGAGACUUGAAUGAAGACACAAAAGAUGUGUCCAGCCAAACCUCAGAAGCACACAAUGUUUUGACAUAGCUGAUUUAUGAUCCAAAACUCUCUUCCCAGGUGGAAUUGCUAGCCCAAGAUCAACACUCAGAAAUUUAAUGGUAAUCAAUGUAAAGUCAGAUCAGAAAAAUCAAUCACUCCAGGAACAAGCCCAGGGCAGAGCAGUGCCUUGGCAGGACUCCACUGGAGAUUAUCUGGUUAUUUGCAUUUGACCUCUGAGGUCAAUGUAAGCAUAACUUGCUGAGGCCUGGAGAGGGGUCGUCUCCCAUCCAGGUUCAGCCCUGGCCAGAGGGAUCUGGACCCCAUACUUAUGGCACAGGACAGCAAGGCCUCUUGACCUCCUGUGGGCAUCUUGAGGAAGGAGGAAGAGGACGAGAGGAUGAGGUUGAGGAGAGGCAAGUAGCGUGGCCGUGGCUGAGCUAAGCCAGCAGAACCAAUUCCAGGCAAGAGGCGGACUGAUUUAUGGCACCCAAGCCUUCUUCUGCCUCUGUGCAGACAAGGCUGACUUCCAUGGGAACUUCUCUAUAGUGACAGAGUCCCUGGUCAGGCAAGUGGGAAGGUGAUCAGAAGAGAGGGACUCCCUUUGUGUUACCCCCUUUAUGUUGUUGGUGUGUACACACAUGUGGAGAGCUUUGGGUGCCGAUUCUAGGAAAUUGGAAAGAAUAUUUAACACGGGACAAGGACAAGGACAAGGAAAUAAGCUCAAGAAAAAUACAGCCGAAGAAUGCAUCCUUGUAUCCUGAUCAUCUUGAUAAUCAAGAUGAUAAUCAAGAAACGGGGACCUUGGUUUAUGCCUUGUUUGUUCCUUGACUACGUUGUUUAUGCCUUAGAACUGUCCAUAUUCUUUGCAUGUGCCUAGAAUGAUAUAAAAAAACAGACUGGAAUAAAUUAAACCCACUUCAGCACUCAUUGGGGCCAUACUAUAAUGUUGUCUAAUUAUCUUGUUUUCCUUUAAUCCUCGCAUCUUCCCUUGAGUCCCUGUUGACUGAGCUGGCUUGGUCAGGCGGCACCCUCAAUGCUGGAGCUUGAGUAAGAGAGGUUCAGUGAAGGACACCAUGAGGGUGAGAGGAGCGGGGAGGAAGUGCACACAAAAGAAAAUAAAGAAAAUUUGGGCCAGCAGUGAGUAAACCCUGUAAAAAUGGGGCAGAGUAAUGGUAGAAUGUUUUUGUUAGAUACGCUAAAGUCAAGAGGAGGUCAGGCGAUACCUGCUUCCUCUCUGGUUCCCACUGGGGAAAUGCUUAGUCCUGGUUCUGGGUCCCCUAAGCAGGAUAUCUGAGUCCCUUUGGUGGGACAUCUAGUUCUCUUCCUUCUCUGUCUAUUGUCUGUCCUUGGCAUGCCUGUCUGUCUACAUCUGUCUGUUUAUGUCUAUGGUUUCAUCUUUGUUGCUUGAUUGUUGCUCUGUGCUUCAUAUUCAAAAGAAAAAAUGGUUAAAACUUUAUCUGCUGGAACAUUUGGGUUCAGCAAGUGUCAAGGUGCUCCUCCCAUGAAGUUAAAGCUGGAAAAAAUAAGAAAAUUUUGUCUGUCUAAUCUAAAUAUGUAAAUAAUGUGUAUAGCCACUUCAUGUUUGUUUCUGACUGGUUGUAAAUGUAUAAAUAUGUUAUUCAUGUCUUGGUUAUAGAAUAUUGGCUUAUAAGUUAUCGGGUAUGGUUAAAAAAUAUAUCAUUAAUAAACAGAAAAUCGGCUUAAAACUGGUAACUCAGGAUUGGAAUCACUCUGGGCAACAACACAUGGCAGGAGCCAACCCAGGGGAACAGGUCUCUAAAGAUACCUCUAAAUUAGGAUAAUAUUUUAUGUAAUUCCUAUCCUAGAAACCAGAUUUAUAAAAGAUAGGAUUUAAAACAAUGUUUCUUUAAUGAAGUAUGAAAAGCUGCACCAUCAUGCAUUCAUAUACCAGACCUGGGAGCCAGACUUUGUAAAAUGAAAACAGUGUGCUUGGUAUUGCUUUUAAAGAGACUGGAUUAUUUAUUUACACUGUUAAAAAUUGGAUUUUGCCUUUCAAAAUUAUGGUUGUAUUCUAUGAUUUCACUCUUAAAAAUGCUUUAUUUUGAUAUUACAAAAGGAACUGUUAAAAAUUAUAGUUGAAUAUGUACAAAGCUAAUGGAACAUUGGCAGUUUACAAUUCAAUCACAAGCUCAAGAUUUUAAUUUCUCUUUGGCUGUCCUCUGAAUAUAAGCUUUAAAAUGCCUGUUAUCAUGCUAACAACAUCUCUGUUACAGGGAAUGAUGGGACAAACCCAUGGAGCUCUAAAAUACCAGUUACAUAAAACAAAAAAAGAGGGAGUUGUAUAUUCCUUCACCACAAAAUUUUAUUUUGAAUUUUUGGACCUUAGAUGCCAAGGGGCUCUCUGCUAUUGUCUAUGGCAUCCUACAACUCAGCAUACUUAUGCUCAGGUGCAAUGGAAGGAUCCACUUACUGGCAUAUGGUAUGGUCCAGAUCAGGUAUUAAUAUGGGGAAGAGGGCAUGUUUGUGGGUUUGUUUUUGUUUGUUUGUUUUUUCAGGAUGCUGAAGGAGCAUGGUGGCUUCCAGAGUGACUGGUGAGACAUGCUGAUGCUGGGACAAAGAAUGAUGCUGACUGUGAGCUUGCUGAGUGCCCUGACACUGGUGACAGGGAAACUGUAUUAGGCAUACAUUCUUGACCCACUACUGAUACAUCCACCAGUGUGGUCCAGACUGGAGAUUCUUGUGGCUUGUAAUAAUUCUCAACUUCUUGGAUCUCCUUGGACAAGGGAGUCAACUUAUAAUAAGACCACGACUUUCAAUGCGCUUUGUGACAGCAUUCCUGUUUCCUUUGUGAAGAAUAAUAUGAAUGAUGGGUGUAUUUCUGUGCUUCCUCAAAUUUGGAAGAAAAAGAUUUCACAAACUGUAACUCAGAGCAUAGAGAUGGGCAUGCCUAAAUAUUAUGAGGGAUCUACCCCUGAUCCUCAUGAGGUGAUCAUGGUCUGAACCCACAGAGAAUGUGGAUAUGGCAUUUACCAAAACUGUUAAAAGGAAAGAACGUUAUAAUCAACCCACAACUUGAUUUACAUUAAUCAAGUAAUAUGUGAAUUAUUGAUUGGGCAGGGAAUCAAUCAAACAUUAGACAAAGGAGAUGUCCAUAGGUCUUUGGCAAUCAGAUUCAGGUUAUUUUCAACUGCAUAUUUGGAAAUUAGCUGCAGCUCUCUUUGAAGUUAUGUUAGAAAUAGAAAAAAUUGAGACAGGAUCUGGAUUUCGAAUAAGUGUUAGUGAAUGUGUUAAGGCUCCUAGUCUUUUAUUAAUUGGUCACAUUUAAAUUACUUUUGUUUCUUCUACGGUAUUUAAUGUAACGGUAUUUAAUUUAACACUUUCUAAUUGUGUUAGUGUAUUGAAAUCUAGCAUGUCUGUUAUGGUGGUCUAUUAAAUAGCUUUUGUUUUAGUGUCUUAUAAGUAUAAUAAGACCUUGGUAAUCUGAAAAAAGCUUACAAAUAUUGGAAGAAGUGAGUCAGGAUUUAAGCAGAAGAAAGAGGGUAGUGGGACAUUAAUAGCUAGUGCCACUGCUUCUGCAAUUGCUUUGCUCCAAGAAGUUAGGACAGCAACUUUUGUUAAUCACUUAGAAAAAAAAAAGUUACUAAUGCUCUUACUAUUCAAGAAGAUGUACUUGGGCACUUGGAACAAUGAAUUGAUAUUCUCUAUAAUACUAUUCAAAUUAUUGGAGAGGAGGUUCAGAAUUUAAGAGUAAGAAGCCAUCUUGAGUGUCACACUAAAUACCAAUCAAUUUGUGUCACUUCUAAAAUUUACAAUGACAGUCACUAUAAUUGGGAGAAAAUUCAAAGCCACUUGCAGGGUAUUUGGCAUAAUUCUAACACCUCUCUGGAUUCUUUAGCUUUGCAUACCAAGAUUGUGAAUUUAUAGAAUGCUAUGCUGCUGAGCUUUGAUGCUGCAGAUACUGCUGAAAAAAGUUAUUCAUGGAUUAAGGUCAGUAUUUCCAUCCUAAUCAAGCUUCAAGAACGACUUAUAUAGUUUGAUCAAAUUGGCCUUUCUUGUCCUGGGAAUACUUUUAUUCCUGCCCAUUUUGAUAAAACUUGCCUUUAACAACAUCAACAAGCUAGUGACCAAAAUACAUGGCUUGAAACUUAAAAUGAAUCCCCAGACAAAGCCACUAAUGUAACAGGCUGGUAGUCAAUGACAGGCAAGAUUCUGCAGAGAACCUUACCAGCCUAAGACAUAAAUGCAUUGACUUGGAUAAUGCAUUUUCAAUAACGGGUAAUUAAGGUAUCGUCAGAACAACCUAGGAUAGAUACAGUCUUGUUUAUGAAAUAUGGGGAGAUAUGGAGAGCUCUAGGUGCCACUUCUAGGAAACUGGAAAGAAUAUUUGUCAUUGGACAGGAAAUAAGCUCAAGAAAAAUACAGCCAAGGAACGUAUUCCUUGUAUCCCGAUCAUCUUAAUGAGUCCCUAGGAACAGGAACCUUUGUUCGUGCUUUGUUCCUUGACUACUUUGUUUAUGCCUUAGAACUGGUCAUAUUCUUUGCAUGUACCUAAAUGAUAUAAAAACAGACUGGAAAAAAAAUAAAUCUGCUCCAGCACUCUGGGGUCAUGCUA